Molecule: ribosomal RNA, 748 nt
Filed under: Bacillus sp. (in: firmicutes)
Lineage: Bacteria; Bacillati; Bacillota; Bacilli; Caryophanales; Bacillaceae
Description: bacterial SSU rRNA
Rfam family: Bacterial small subunit ribosomal RNA
Source: RNAcentral
UUGAUCCUGGCUCAGGACGAACGCUGGCGGCGUGCCUAAUACAUGCAAGUCGAGCGGACAGAAGGGAGCUUGCUCCCGGAUGUUAGCGGCGGACGGGUGAGUAACACGUGGGUAACCUGCCUGUAAGACUGGGAUAACUCCGGGAAACCGGAGCUAAUACCGGAUAGUUCCUUGAACCGCAUGGUUCAAGGAUGAAAGACGGUUUCGGCUGUCACUUACAGAUGGACCCGCGGCGCAUUAGCUAGUUGGUGGGGUAAUGGCUCACCAAGGCGACGAUGCGUAGCCGACCUGAGAGGGUGAUCGGCCACACUGGGACUGAGACACGGCCCAGACUCCUACGGGAGGCAGCAGUAGGGAAUCUUCCGCAAUGGACGAAAGUCUGACGGAGCAACGCCGCGUGAGUGAUGAAGGUUUUCGGAUCGUAAAGCUCUGUUGUUAGGGAAGAACAAGUGCGAGAGUAACUGCUCGCACCUUGACGGUACCUAACCAGAAAGCCACGGCUAACUACGUGCCAGCAGCCGCGGUAAUACGUAGGUGGCAAGCGUUGUCCGGAAUUAUUGGGCGUAAAGGGCUCGCAGGCGGUUUCUUAAGUCUGAUGUGAAAGCCCCCGGCUCAACCGGGGAGGGUCAUUGGAAACUGGGAAACUUGAGUGCAGAAGAGGAGAGUGGAAUUCCACGUGUAGCGGUGAAAUGCGUAGAGAUGUGGAGGAACACCAGUGGCGAAGGCGACUCUCUGGUCUGUAACUGAC